GUUUGAUCCUGGCUCAGAUUGAACGCUGGCGGCAUGCCUUACACAUGCAAGUCGAACGGUAACAGGUCUUCGGAUGCUGACGAGUGGCGAACGGGUGAGUAAUACAUCGGAACGUGCCCGAUCGUGGGGGAUAACGGAGCGAAAGCUUUGCUAAUACCGCAUACGAUCUACGGAUGAAAGCGGGGGAUCUUCGGACCUCGCGCGGACGGAGCGGCCGAUGGCAGAUUAGGUAGUUGGUGGGAUAAAAGCUUACCAAGCCGACGAUCUGUAGCUGGUCUGAGAGGAUGAUCAGCCACACUGGGACUGAGACACGGCCCAGACUCCUACGGGAGGCAGCAGUGGGGAAUUUUGGACAAUGGGGGCAAC
RNAcentral lists this ribosomal RNA (366 nucleotides) under Diaphorobacter sp. R-26815. RNAcentral describes it as "bacterial SSU rRNA". It matches the Rfam family "Bacterial small subunit ribosomal RNA", at positions 11 to 381 of the family's 1533-position model. The record is from RNAcentral. Lineage: Bacteria; Pseudomonadati; Pseudomonadota; Betaproteobacteria; Burkholderiales; Comamonadaceae.